GACGUAGUUCAGUUGGUUAGAGCGUCAGAUUGUGGUUCUGAAUGUCGUCGGUUCGAGUCCGACCUUC
This 67-nucleotide transfer RNA is filed under the name Prevotella micans. It matches the Rfam family "tRNA". From Rfam's summary of the family: Transfer RNA (tRNA) molecules are approximately 80 nucleotides in length. Their secondary structure includes four short double-helical elements and three loops (D, anti-codon, and T loops). Further hydrogen bonds mediate the characteristic L-shaped molecular structure. tRNAs have two regions of fundamental functional importance: the anti-codon, which is responsible for specific mRNA codon recognition, and the 3' end, to which the tRNAs corresponding amino acid is attached (by aminoacyl-tRNA synthetases). tRNAs cope with the degeneracy of the genetic code in two manners: having more than one tRNA (with a specific anti-codon) for a particular amino acid; and 'wobble' base-pairing, i.e. permitting non-standard base-pairing at the 3rd anti-codon position. Lineage: Bacteria; Pseudomonadati; Bacteroidota; Bacteroidia; Bacteroidales; Prevotellaceae. The record is from RNAcentral.